This 501-nucleotide ribosomal RNA is filed under the name uncultured bacterium. Its description in RNAcentral is "partial 16S ribosomal RNA". It matches the Rfam family "Bacterial small subunit ribosomal RNA", at positions 30 to 523 of the family's 1533-position model. The record is from RNAcentral.
AUUGAACGCUGGCGGCAGGCUUAACACAUGCAAGUCGAGCGGGGAAAGGUAGCUUGCUACCGGACCUAGCGGCGGACGUGUGAGUAAUGCUUAGGAAUCUGCCUAUUAGUGGGGGACAACAUCUCGAAAGGGAUGCUAAUACCGCAUACGUCCUACGGGAGUAAGAAGGGGAACUUCGGACCUUGCGCUAAUAGAUGAGACUAAGUCGGAUUAGCUAGUUGGUGGGGUCAAGGCCUACCAAGGAGACGAUCUUUAGCGGGUCUGAGAGGAUGAUCCGCCACACUGGGACUGAGACACGGCCCAGACUCCUACGGGAGGCAGCAGUGGGGAAUAUUGGACAAUGGGGGGAACCCUGAUCCAGCCAUGCCGCGUGUGUGAAGAAGGCCUUAUGGUUGUAAAGCACUUUAAGCGAGGAGGAGGCUACUUUAGUUAAUACCUAGAGAUAGUGGACGUUACUCGCAGAAUAAGCACCGGCUAACUCUGUGCCAGCCGCCGCUGUAA